Molecule: long non-coding RNA, 1044 nt
Organism: Poeciliopsis prolifica (blackstripe livebearer)
Lineage: Eukaryota; Metazoa; Chordata; Actinopteri; Cyprinodontiformes; Poeciliidae
Exons: 4
Source: RefSeq, a predicted model, not a curated record
AAAAGGUUAACCGAAAUGGGACUCAUAUUGUUGGCUCAAUUGGGUUAAAUGUAUGGGCCCAAUUCAGCAUUAACGUGGGCUAACCGGGCAUGGGACAGAAAUGGGAACACUAUAUGGGGCCCAUGUGGUUUCAGUAUAUUGGGCCUAAAAGGUUUUUUGUAAAUAGGAUGAAGGCAUUGUAGUUCAUAUUUUUAAAUUCUUUUUUUAAUUGUUGUGUGACACUUUAAAGCGUUUUGUUAUGUCAUAGUUUAUUUCAAUCUGCCGCUAUUGUGUUGGUCUAGAGUAGUCAUCAGUGUCAGGGUUCCUGUGUGUGUAUGUGAGUGUCGCAUCUUAUUUCAGCGAGGAUCUUUGUGAGGAGCCCGUGGAGCUUGGCACAGGUGGAGGAGCAGCAGAAUCUUCAGUCUACGCUAGAUUGACUGAAGAUUCUACUGGUGUAUGCUAGAUGGUUGCAUACACCGGUAGUCACUCUGGCCUCUCCUGUUGUGAACAGUUUUCUGAGAACGUUUCUGUGUCUACUAGAAGUCACCUGGUCUCUGUGUUUGUUCGAUCCUAGGGGUUUUGUCGCCUCAUUCGAGAACUCACCAGUGAAUACCUGCCUGCUCGCUCCGCCGAUUCCACUGCCUCCACUCCACCCUUCGAGCUUCCAGCUCUCUUCCAUUCCCACCUCGCAUUUACCUUCGGAACCGCUGCACACCCUCUCUCAGGAACCUGGCAUCUCACACCCACGCCUCGAAAGACCCGCACCGAAGCUUCAAGAGGAUCAGCGUGUGAAGAUCACUUUAUAAUGAUUUGAAAAAGGUUGCCAUGGCUGCAGAAAUUGGAGGAGCAUCCUUAGAUGACACAAUACAACCAGCUGUGCGAUUCCUCAUGUCCCAUGAACUGGAAGUCCAGUUCAACCUUUUUGGCCAACAUUGGAAACAAGCUCUUGGACCUGCGUCUCUUUGAUGGGGACUUAAAAGAAAUUAUCCAUCUACAGAAUCACACAAGCAUACAGCAAAGACUCUCGAAGUGGUUUACUGGAGCCCGAGUGGAAGUGGAAAUAGA